RNAcentral lists this ribosomal RNA (578 nucleotides) under uncultured bacterium. RNAcentral's name for it is "bacterial SSU rRNA". It matches the Rfam family "Bacterial small subunit ribosomal RNA", at positions 31 to 597 of the family's 1533-position model. The record is from RNAcentral.
GAACGCUAGCGGCAGGCCUAAUACAUGCAAGUCGAACGGCAACACGGGUAGCAAUACCUGGUGGCGAGUGGCGCACGGGUGCGUAACGCGUAUGCAACCUACCCUUAACUGAGACAUAACCUGGCGAAAGCUGGGCUAAUAUCUCAUGAGGUUUAUGGGAGGCAUCUUCUAUAAAUCAAAGUCUGGAAAGAUGGUUAAGGAUGGGCAUGCGUCCCAUUAGCUAGUUGGUGAGGUAAAGGCUCACCAAGGCGACGAUGGGUAGGGGUUCUGAGAGGAAGGUCCCCCACACUGGUACUGAGACACGGACCAGACUCCUACGGGAGGCAGCAGUAAGGAAUAUUGGGCAAUGGUCGGAAGACUGACCCAGCCAUGCCGCGUGCAGGAAGAAGGCCCUAUGGGUUGUAAACUGCUUUAGCCAGGGGCUAAACCUACCGAUGCGUUGGUAGCUGAAGGUACCUGGAGAAUAAGCAUCGGCUAACUCCGUGCCAGCAGCCGCGGUAAUACGGAGGAAUGCGAGCGUUUAUCCGGAAUUUACUGGGGUUUUAAAGGGGUGCGCCAGGCCGGUUUGUUUUAAGUUC